Molecule: non-coding RNA, 222 nt
Organism: Dermacentor andersoni
Lineage: Eukaryota; Metazoa; Arthropoda; Arachnida; Ixodida; Ixodidae
Source: RefSeq, a predicted model, not a curated record
GUGUGCAGAUCGCCAAAAAAAUUGACGCAGCACGUGUGGGUCUUCAGUGCCCAGACAUCCCGUGUGCUCUGCGAAAGCUCUGCAACAAACACCACGGGAGGAUCCCGGCCCACUCCACCAAAGCUUUUUAUUCGAACGAGGACAAGGCAAUCAUCCGAGGACUUUUUGACGCCUGCCGCGAACAGUCCUGAAGCAUCGAUUCGAGCUCAACCUUACAUCGUG